CAGCAGCCGCGGUAAUACGGAGGGUGCAAGCGUUACUCGGAAUUACUGGGCGUAAAGCGUGCGCAGGCGGUUCGUUAAGACAGAUGUGAAAUCCCCGGGCUCAACCUGGGAACUGCAUUUGUGACUGCAUGACUAGAGUACGGCAGAGGGGGAUGGAAUUCCGCGUGUAGCAGUGAAAUGCGUAGAUAUGCGGAGGAACACCGAUGGCGAAGGCAAUCCCCUGGGCCUGUACUGACGCUCAUGCACGAAAGCGUGGGGAGCAAACAUGAUUAGAUACCCCCGUAGUCCCUGUCUCUUAUAA
RNAcentral lists this ribosomal RNA (301 nucleotides) under uncultured bacterium. RNAcentral's name for it is "partial 16S ribosomal RNA". It matches the Rfam family "Bacterial small subunit ribosomal RNA", at positions 509 to 809 of the family's 1533-position model. The record is from RNAcentral.